This 301-nucleotide ribosomal RNA is filed under the name uncultured bacterium. RNAcentral describes it as "partial 16S ribosomal RNA". It matches the Rfam family "Bacterial small subunit ribosomal RNA", at positions 509 to 807 of the family's 1533-position model. The record is from RNAcentral.
CAGUAGCCACGGUAAUACGGAGGGUGCAAGCGUUGUCCGGAUUUAUUGGGUUUAAAGGGUGCGUAGGCGGCUAUUUAAGUCAGCGGUGAAAGACUCCGGCUCAACCGGAGCAGUGCCAUUGAUACUGGAUAGCUUGAGUGUUGGAGUGGUACAUGGAAUUGAUGGUGUAGCGGUGAAAUGCAUAGAUACCAUCAGGAACACCGAUAGCGAAGGCAUUGUACUGGCCAACAACUGACGCUGAGGCACGAAAGCAUGGGGAGCGAACAGGAUUAGAUACCCCGGUAGUCCCUGUCUCUUAUAC